Passer domesticus (house sparrow) is the source of this 2392-nucleotide RNA transcript. It is a transcript of the gene named leucine rich repeat containing 52, with no coding region annotated. The record is from RefSeq and is a predicted model, not a curated record. The transcript is spliced from 2 exons. Lineage: Eukaryota; Metazoa; Chordata; Aves; Passeriformes; Passeridae.
CUGCGGCUGCCACGGGGCUGCUUGCAGUCCAUGAAAGGCUAAGCGGCCUGGAAGGUCUCCAACCAUGUCUCCUUCAUGGUCCCUGAGCCUCGUGUUUCUUCUGGGGAUGGCGCUGCAGGGGAUCAGCUGCCCGAGCAGGUGUAGCUGUCAGUACCUGGAGGUGAACUGCACUGGGCAGCGGUUGCAGGGGUUUCCUGUGGACAUCCCUCUGGACACCAGGCAGCUGAUUUUGGCAGCAAACAACAUCUCGUACCUGCCGGCUGUGGAAUUGAGCUUCCUGGCUGAUUUGGUCUAUCUGGACUGCAGAAAGAACCUCUUGGGGGAUGACCUGGAUUUCACUUUCAUUGGCGUGGCCAGGCUCGUCUACCUGGACCUCAGCUUCAACAACCUCACACAGGUCACCUUCAGCACCUUCUCCCACCUCCUCAGCCUGGUGGUACUGAAGAUCUCAGACAAUCCCAACCUUGUGGCCAUCGAGAAGGGUGCUUUUGCCAACAACUCCUGGCUGAGGCACCUGGAUGUGAGCCGGACUGGCUUAACCUUCCUGGACACCAGCACUGUCCGGGACUUGCCCAACCUGAGGCUGCUGGGGCUCAGUGACAACCUGUGGCACUGCAACUGCUCCUUUUUGGACUUCAUCACCUGGAUGGUGGAGAGUGAUGUGCAUUUUCCAGGUGAGGGCUGUGUGAGCACAGAUCUGUGUGGAACAGAGAGAGCCCUCUGUUCUCCUUCCCCAAAGUUCCGUUCACGGGGCUGUGCCACUGCAUGCCAUUUUCUGCUGUCACACAAACCAGGGAUGGGAGCAGCUGGGUUACACACAUGAGGGAUCCCUCUUGUUCACAUCCUCCUCAGCCAGGGAGGUGUAAUGUGCAGCUGGGACACUGCUGCUUCCCUAAAACACCUGGAUCCAGCCUCAGGUGUCCCUGUGCCUGCACAGCACCCCAUGGCUGCAGCGCCAAGAACGAGGAGCCCCACAGAGCUCCAGGGAGAUGUGCACUGGGAAAAUCAUUGCUCUGAAUUUCCUGCCCUGUCUCCACCCCAAAGUCAGCUGUUGCCCUUCAUAUUGAGAGAUUCUAUAGCUGGGCCUUGGAGAGGCCAGUUCCCUUUCCCAUAAAAACACUGGUCCCAAGGGUGAUGUUUUGCUUUGCAGCUGCAGCACAUGGAUUUAGCUUUUCCAGACUGGAAAGAGCCACAACACAGCACACAUGAACAAGAAAAUCUUUGGUUUCAGUAGUGCAGGGCACAAUGGUGAGAGAGAAAUUGGUCAAGAAAGUCUGUCCACUGAAUAACAAAGGGCCACAAAAGAGCCCAAGGGGAAAAAAGGAAAGGGCAGCUGGAAGCUGGUGUUAGGACAGAACUGAAUUAAAGACAUCACAGUGCCUUUAUUAGAUGUAGUAAGCUCCUUAUAGACAAUAAAGGGUUUCUUUUUCCACAUACAGGCAAUUAUGGAAGAGUGGAAUAAAGUACAGCUCUCAGCAGUGAGACUGGAGAUAACCCUCUGAACCCUGCAACAGGAGAAUAAAGCUCAUUGCAGGCUGUUGGGGAGGGGAGGAGGAGGAAAGGCAGCCUUAAACUGAGGGUUGUUCCAGGCCACAGGGAUACUGGGGCAGAGCCCUGGAACCUGCUGCAAGCAGACCCCAGCCUGGCCUUUAGCAAGGCUCCUGGCCUUCAGAAAUAUCUGUGCAUCAGAGUUGGAGCUCAGCCUGGGGGCUGACACAAAGCUGCCCAAGUUUGGAUGGGUUUGGGUAACAGAGAGAUAAAAGCUCUUCAGUUUUCAUCAGGACCAGUAGCAAGAUCAGCAUGAACAACAUCACUCAGCCAUAUACACUACAGUAAUGCAAUAAAAAUCCUCCAUGCCUCAUUCCCCUCCACCACUCCCAUCCCACCCCAUGCGUGGAGCAGUGCUCCCUUUCCCUCAGGCUCUUCCAUCCUGUCCAUCAAGCAGUGUCCCCACCACAGUGACCAUGUCUGUGGGGUUCAAAACCUGCAGAGGAUGGCUGGGGACACACCCUGCACCCCACUGGUCCUUCAAUAACUUGAAGGGGAGCAGGCAGCAUCUGUUUUAUCACUGCAGAUAUUGCAAUAUGACAGGGUAUGGUUGUUAUUUCAGUGGAACUGAAUCAUUGAUGAGUUGCCUCUGCUUGCCUCACAGAGCAGGUAAGGCUGUGCAUGACUGCAAACAACCCUCCUUGUCAAACCCACAGCAGACUCAUUAUUCCAGUAUAAUUUAGGCUGUAUCACUGUAGAAGGUGUUUGAGAUUUAAAAAAACAACACAGAUGCUGACAACAUCACCUGCUACAGCCCAGCAGGGCUGCGUGCCCUGAGGAUGCCAGCAGCAGAGGCACAGCUCCACUUCAGCUGCCUGACCCAGCUGCACAAGCAGGAUUAUGU